This 400-nucleotide unclassified non-coding RNA is filed under the name soil metagenome. Its description in RNAcentral is "partial contains 5.8S ribosomal RNA, internal transcribed spacer 2, and large subunit ribosomal RNA". The stretch from base 1 to 122 matches the Rfam family "5.8S ribosomal RNA", at positions 35 to 154 of the family's 154-position model. The record is from RNAcentral.
GAUGAAGAACGUAGCGAAAUGCGAUACUUGGUGUGAAUUGCAGAAUCCCGUGAACCAUCGAGUCUUUGAACGCAAGUUGCGCCUCAAGCCAUUAGGUUGAGGGCACGUCUGCCUGGGCGUCACAUAUCGUUGCCUGAUGCCAGUUUCCUCGUGAUGGGUGACUGUGCAGGGCGAAUGAUGGCUUCCCGUGAGCAUUGUUGCCUCAUGGUUGGUUGAAAAUUGAGUGCUUGGUAGGGAGCGCCGUGAUAGAUGGUGGUUGAGUGACGAACGAGACCCAAUCAUGUGAGACCCCUACCGAAUUUGGCCUUCAUGACCCACAUGCGUCUUUGGAACGCUCAUGACGAGACCUCAGGUCAGGCGGGGCUACCCGCUGAGUUCAAGCAUAUCAAUAAGCGGAGGA